RNAcentral lists this ribosomal RNA (253 nucleotides) under uncultured bacterium. RNAcentral describes it as "partial 16S ribosomal RNA". It matches the Rfam family "Bacterial small subunit ribosomal RNA", at positions 524 to 776 of the family's 1533-position model. The record is from RNAcentral.
UACGAAGGGGGCUAGCGUUGUUCGGAAUUACUGGGCGUAAAGCGCGCGCAGGCGGCUAUCCAAGUCAGUGGUGAAAGCCCGGAGCUCAACUCCGGAACUGCCAUUGAAACUGUUUAGCUUGAGGACGAGAGAGGUGAGUGGAAUUCCCAGUGUAGAGGCGAAAUUCGUAGAUAUUGGGAAGAACACCGGUGGCGAAGGCGGCUCACUGGCUCGUAUCUGACGCUCAGGCGCGACAGCGUGGGGAUCAAACAGG